AUUCGCGGCCUAUCAGCUUGUUGGUGGGGUGAUGGCCUACCAAGGCGAUGACGGGUAGCCGGCCUGAGAGGGUGACCGGCCACACUGGGACUGAGACACGGCCCAGACUCCUACGGGAGGCAGCAGUGGGGAAUAUUGCACAAUGGGCGCAAGCCUGAUGCAGCGACGCCGCGUGAGGGAUGACGGCCUUCGGGUUGUAAACCUCUUUCAGUAGGGAAGAAGCUUUCGGGUGACGGUACCUGCAGAAGAAGCGCCGGCUAACUACGUGCCAGCAGCCGCGGUAAUACGUAGGGCGCAAGCGUUGUCCGGAAUCAUUGGGCGUAAAGAGCUCGUAGGCGGUUUGUCGCGUCUGCUGUGAAAUCCCCAGGCUCAACUUGGGGCGUGCAGUGGGUACGGGCAGACUAGAGUGCGGUAGGGGAGACUGGAAUUCCUGGUGUAGCGGUGGAAUGCGCAGAUAUCAGGAGGAACACCGAUGGCGAAGGCAGGUCUCUGGGCCGUUACUGACGCUGAGGAGCGAAAGCAUGGGGAGCGAACAGGAUUAGAUACCCUGGUAGUCCAUGCCGUAAACGUUGGGCACUAGGUGUGGGGUCUGUUUCCACGGAUUCCGCGCCGUAGCUAACGCAUUAAGUGCCCCGCCUGGGGAGUACGGA
RNAcentral lists this ribosomal RNA (650 nucleotides) under uncultured Actinomycetes bacterium. Its description in RNAcentral is "bacterial SSU rRNA". It matches the Rfam family "Bacterial small subunit ribosomal RNA", at positions 229 to 886 of the family's 1533-position model. Lineage: Bacteria; Bacillati; Actinomycetota; Actinomycetes. The record is from RNAcentral.